GGUCUUCUGAGUUUCUUUCCGGAUUCCCCUUUGAACUCUUCUUCAGAUCUUCUAGACUUUGCUCUACUCCCAUGCUGGUCACUCAGCUGCUACCUACCCACAGCACAAUGCCAUCGUCCAGCUUCCCCCACCUCACCAGACACCCUGGCACUGAAAGAAGACUGCCUCCAUCUUGGCUCAACAGUCUCACCAUAUUAGGUGAGGGAAGCUCCCAGAUCAGAUCUUCAGCAGCCAGGUACCAAAAUCCCAACCUUCCCUCCUCUUUAGCAUUGUUUGCCCAACACAGGUGUGCAGUGCGACCAGGGAGCUUCCCACGGGAGUCCCUGUGUGAGAGGUUCCUCAAUUGAGAACUGCUAAAGGAGACAGGAUGAAAGUUUGGAGGCUAAGAGAGAGACCAGGAACUGGGGAAUCUCCAGGCAAGAUAGGGAGAUAGUACCAGGUGCUCAAGUCAUAGAAGUGACCCCCAAAAAGAGACUCAUGAGGUGCAGUCUCCCUGCAGGGACUGGCAGAUGCUACUCCCUGCUUCCAGAAUCCCUGCACCAGGACCAAUCUUUUCACCCUGGUUACCUCCACCCUCCUGAGUGCAGAGACACCAGCUUACAACAGACAACCCCUUCUAUUGGAUGAGAAGAGAAGCAGGAGAGGUACAUAUUUCUUGGCUUUGCCAUUCCUUUGGUUUUUUUUUUUGAUAUUUUUUUGUCCUCUUCUACUCCUCUAUUCUCCAGCCCUCACAUCCACAACAUAUGUGGAAAGCCGAGCUUUGCCUGAAAUAGGACUUAGAGGACUGAGUCAUCUGAAUAAUAUAGUAUAGAGUUGUUGUAUCUGCUAUUUUUUCCUUUUUCUUUUUCUUUUUUUGUUUUUCUUUGCCUUUCCAUGGUUUGCAAUUUUAACAUGUGCAUUUUUCUAAAUAUAUAUGUGUGUUGGUGUUAUGUACACUACUGUCUUCCCAAGUACUUGUC
This 959-nucleotide long non-coding RNA is filed under the name Marmota monax (woodchuck). The record is from RNAcentral. Lineage: Eukaryota; Metazoa; Chordata; Mammalia; Rodentia; Sciuridae.